GUUUGAGUGAGAAAUGAAGAUAGAAAUGAUCUUACUAUUAAAAUGAAGAUAUGAGAUCCAACUCUGAUCUCACUCUGAG
Molecule: small nucleolar RNA, 79 nt
Organism: Phascolarctos cinereus (koala)
Lineage: Eukaryota; Metazoa; Chordata; Mammalia; Diprotodontia; Phascolarctidae
Source: Ensembl